CACGUAGGGUGCGAGCGUUGUCCGGAUUUAUUGGGCGUAAAGAGCGUGUAGGCGGCCCGGUAAGUCCGCUGUAAAAGUCAAAGGCUCAACCUUUGAAUGUCAGUGGAUACUGCCGGGCUAGAGUCCGGAAGAGGCGAGUGGAACUCCUGGUGUAGCGGUGGAAUGCGCAGAUAUCAGGAAGAACACCAACGGCGAAGGCAGCUCGCUGGGACGGUACUGACGCUGAGACGCGAAAGCGUGGGGAGCGAACAGG
RNAcentral lists this ribosomal RNA (253 nucleotides) under uncultured bacterium. Its description in RNAcentral is "partial 16S ribosomal RNA". It matches the Rfam family "Bacterial small subunit ribosomal RNA", at positions 524 to 776 of the family's 1533-position model. The record is from RNAcentral.